This 2079-nucleotide non-coding RNA is filed under the name bacterium G20. RNAcentral's name for it is "Bacterial large subunit ribosomal RNA". It matches the Rfam family "Bacterial large subunit ribosomal RNA", at positions 2046 to 2912 of the family's 2925-position model. The record is from Rfam by way of RNAcentral.
AUUGACGGUAAAGAUGCCGUCUGUCCGCAGCAGGACGAAAAGACCCCGUGGAGCUUUACUAUAGUUUGGCAUUGAGCCAGGGGUAUACAUGUGUAGGAUAGCUGGGAGGCAUAGAAACUCAGGCGCUAGCUUGGGUGGAGCCAUCGGUGAAAUACCAGCCUUGUAUACUUCUUGUUCUUAAGUGGCCCUUAAUUUGCGGAGCAAAUUAGGGCAAUGCUCAAUGGACAAAUGUUUCAAUGAUCAAUGAAUAUUCAAUAAACAAUGCAGUAAUGGUUUCAAUCAUUUCGGUAUUGGUACAUUCAUUGACACUUGAGCAUUGAACAUUGAUUCAUUGACCCUGAAUUUGAUCUUCAAAUUCAGGGUCGCUGACAGUGUCUGACGGGUAGUUUAACUGGGGCGGUUGCCUCCUAAAGAGUAUCGGAGGCGUUCAAAGGUUGGCUAGAUACGGAUGGAAAUCGUAUCGGUAGUGCAUACGCAGAAGCCAGCUUGACUGUGAGGCAUACAAGCCGAACAGGGACGAAAGUCGGAGUAAGUGACCCGCUGAUAAGUGCGUCUCACAGGGGUGAGACGCAGUAGUUAGUAAUAUGUAAAAAAAGCAAAAAGGGAAAUUCUAAUACCCUUACUUACAUUUUGCUUAUUGCUUUUUGCUGCGCCUCUCGCUCCCGUGAGGCGCAUUGAAUGUGGUAUCUUCAGCGCAAACGGAUAAAAGUUACCCCGGGGAUAACAGGCUUAUAGCGCCCAAUAGUUCACAUAGACGGCGCUGUUUGGCACCUCGAUGUCGGCUCAUCUCAUCCUGGGGCUGGAGCAGGUCCCAAGGGUCCGGCUGUUCGCCGGUUAAAGAGGUACGUGAGCUGGGUUCAGAACGUAAAUUACAUUGCGUUCUACUACUGUAAAGUAGUAAAAUACGAGUGUACAUCGCACUAAUCGUAUUAAAUUCGACUAAUAUCGGUGAAACCCUAUCCAAAAACGAACGUUUUGGAGGGUAAUACCGAGGGAAGACAGAACGUCCAUGUCUAACGAAGAAAAGGCCUACAUAGCCGGAUUCUUGGAUGGCGAUGGCUCGAUCAUCGCCCAACUUGUAACCCGUAAGGACUACAAGUUGGGUUAUCAAAUCAGAGUCAGCCUCGUUUUCUAUCAGAAAACAAUCCACCAAGACCAUCUUCUUUGGCUAAAGAAGCGGCUAGGCUUUGGUUACAUUCGGGCGCGCCGAGAUGGCAUGACCGAAUACACCAUAGUUGGUCUGGGGGAAGUGAAAUAUGUAUUAUCACUUCUAUAUCCCUAUCUUCGACUCAAGAAAGAAUUGGCGAGGAAUGUGCUUCGAAUAAUCGAAAAACAUCCCUCACAACGCGAAAUGACGAAAGCGCAGCUGGUUGGUUUAGCCCGGUUGGUCGAUAAGACCGCUCGGUUUAACUAUUCCAAGAAGCGCACAGUUACUAGCGCCAAAGUCAUAACUUUCUUUGAGAGACAUAAAGUUCUUGUCCCCGUAGAGACUGAUUCUACCAAGAAGCCCUUAGUAGAUGAGAUAGGAUCCGCAACCAGCGGCCUAUAAUACGUCGACCCCGUCUCUACAUACAUGUGGAAGGGAGAAGGUAUAGUCCGUGCCAUCAGUAAUGGUGGAAUUACACGCGUGAGACAGUUCGGUUUAUAUCCGCUGUGGACGUCAGGAAAUUUGCGAGGAUUUGUCCCUAGUACGAGAGGACCGGGACGAACGCACCGCUGGUGUAUGGGUUGUUCUACCAAGAGCAUUGCCCAGUAGCUAUAGUGCGGAAUAGAUAAGCGCUGAAAGCAUAUUAAGCGCGAAACUAACCUCUAGAUUAGAUUUCCCUUGAGUCUGCCACCCAGACUCGGUUCGAUAGCAAAAGUUUUUUAGAUUGCAGAGCGAAAAAGCUCAAAAGUGAGGAGGCGUAUCUAACUGGUACGUCGACGAGCUUUUGAGCUUUUGCAGCCUGGAAGAUAAGGCUUUUGGCUGAAGCGAGUUUGAGUGGCAGACUCUAAAGAGCCCCCUGAAAGACUAUCAGGUUGAUAGGCGCAACGUGGAAGACGAGUAAUCGUUGGAGCGGAAGCGUACUAAUCGGGCCA